UCCGUUGGUGAACCAGCGGAGGGAUCAUUACCGAGUUUACAACUCCCAAACCCAAUGUGAACGUUACCAAACUGUUGCCUCGGCGGGGUCACGCCCCGGGUGCGUCGCAGCCCCGGAACCAGGCGCCCGCCGGAGGAACCAACCAAACUCUUUCUGUAGUCCCCUCGCGGACGUAUUUCUUACAGCUCUGAGCAAAAAUUCAAAAUGAAUCAAAACUUUCAACAACGGAUCUCUUGGUUCUGGCAUCGAUGAAGAACGCAGCGAAAUGCGAUAAGUAAUGUGAAUUGCAGAAUUCAGUGAAUCAUCGAAUCUUUGAACGCACAUUGCGCCCGCCAGUAUUCUGGCGGGCAUGCCUGUCCGAGCGUCAUUUCAACCCUCGAACCCCUCCGGGGGAUCGGCGUUGGGGAUCGGGACCCCUCACACGGGUGCCGGCCCCGAAAUACAGUGGCGGUCUCGCCGCAGCCUCUCCUGCGCAGUAGUUUGCACAACUCGCACCGGGAGCGCGGCGCGUCCACUUCCGUAAAACACCCAACUUUCUGAAAUGUUGACCUCGGAUCAGGUAGGAAUACCCGCUGAACUUAA
Molecule: ribosomal RNA, 582 nt
Filed under: Trichoderma sp. B8
Lineage: Eukaryota; Fungi; Ascomycota; Sordariomycetes; Hypocreales; Hypocreaceae
Description: eukaryotic LSU rRNA
Rfam family: 5.8S ribosomal RNA (bases 214-367)
Source: RNAcentral